This 775-nucleotide ribosomal RNA is filed under the name uncultured Neocallimastigales. Its description in RNAcentral is "partial large subunit ribosomal RNA". It matches the Rfam family "Eukaryotic large subunit ribosomal RNA", at positions 20 to 643 of the family's 3401-position model. Lineage: Eukaryota; Fungi; Neocallimastigomycota; Neocallimastigomycetes; Neocallimastigales. The record is from RNAcentral.
CAUCACUACGCUAGAUGCAUAUCAAUAAGCGGAGGAAAAGAAACUAACAAGGAUUCCCCUAGUAACGGCGAGUGAAGCGGGAAGAGCUCAAAUUUGAAAUCUUAAAGGGUUUCCCUUUACGAAUUGUAGUUUAAAGAAGUGUUUUCUGUUGGAGUUUCGGUAAAAGUUCUUUGGAAUAGGACAUCAUAGAGGGUGAGAAUCCCGUAUUUGACCGUUACUUUCCAGCUGUGUGAUACACUUUCAAAGAGUCGGAUUGUUUGGGAAUGCAGUCCAAGAUGGGUGGUAAAUUUCAUCUAAAGCUAAAUAUUGGCGAGAGACCGAUAGCGAACAAGUACCGUGAGGGAAAGAUGAAAAGAACUUUGAAAAGAGAGUUAAACAGUACGUGAAAUUGUCAAAAGGGAAGCGUUUGACACCAGUGUUGUUUUCUCGAAAAUCAAUUAAAAAUGAGCCGGAUUUUGUGUUGUUAUGACUUUAUCAGCUUACUGCACUCUUUUCUUGUUCUUUUUAAUGCACUUUUCGUUUAACAAGUCAACAUCAAUUUCUUUUGUUGUAAAAGGGUAAGAGGAAGGUGGCUUGCGCUUCGGCUCAAGUGUUUAUAGCCUUUUAUCUCUGCAAUCGGAGAGAUUGAGGUCUGCAGCGUAGAUCCUUCGGGGUUAGAUACAUUGGUGCUAAGCUAUAGCCUUGUAUAGACAACUUGUUGACUAUGCUCAGUCAUGUAGCUUACUCGCUGAUGCUAUUUUACCUACGCUUAGGAUGUUGAAGAUAUGCGCGACAG